RNAcentral lists this ribosomal RNA (492 nucleotides) under uncultured bacterium. RNAcentral describes it as "partial 16S ribosomal RNA". It matches the Rfam family "Bacterial small subunit ribosomal RNA", at positions 29 to 507 of the family's 1533-position model. The record is from RNAcentral.
AGUGAACGCUGGCGGUAGGCCUAACACAUGCAAGUCGAACGGCAGCACAGUAAGAGCUUGCUCUUACGGGUGGCGAGUGGCGGACGGGUGAGGAAUACAUCGGAAUCUACUUUUUCGUGGGGGAUAACGUAGGGAAACUUACGCUAAUACCGCAUACGACCUACGGGUGAAAGCAGGGGAUCUUCGGACCUUGCGCGAAUGAAUGAGCCGAUGUCGGAUUAGCUAGUUGGCGGGGUAAAGGCCCACCAAGGCGACGAUCCGUAGCUGGUCUGAGAGGAUGAUCAGCCACACUGGAACUGGGACACGGUCCAGACUCCUACGGGAGGGAGCAGUGGGGAAUAUUGGACAAUGGGCGCAAGCCUGAUCCAGCCAUACCGCGUGUGUGAAGAAGGCCUUCGGGUUGUAAAGCCCUUUUGUUGGGAAAGAAAAGCAGCAGGUUAAUACCCCGCUGUUCUGACGGUACCCAAAGAAUAAGCACCGGCUAACUUCGUG